CCUACGGGUGGCUGCAGUGGGGAAUAUUGGACAAUGAGCGAAAGCCUGAUCCAGCCAUGCCGCGUGUGUGAAGAAGGCCUUCGGGUUGUAAAGCACUUUCAGUGGGGAAGAAAGCCUUGGGGCUAAUACCCUCGAGGAAGGACAUCACCCACAGAAGAAGCACCGGCUAACUCCGUGCCAGCAGCCGCGGUAAUACGGAGGGUGCGAGCGUUAAUCGGAAUUACUGGGCGUAAAGCGCGCGUAGGCGGUCUGAUAAGCCGGUUGUGAAAGCCCCGGGCUCAACCUGGGAACGGCAUCCGGAACUGUCAGGCUAGAGUGCAGGAGAGGAAGGUAGAAUUCCCGGUGUAGCAGUGAAAUGCGUAGAGAUCGGGAGGAAUACCAGUGGCGAAGGCGGCCUUCUGGACUGACACUGACGCUGAGGUGCGAAAGCGUGGGUAGCAAACAGGAUUAGAUACCCCAGUAGUC
RNAcentral lists this ribosomal RNA (465 nucleotides) under Vreelandella stevensii. RNAcentral describes it as "partial 16S ribosomal RNA". It matches the Rfam family "Bacterial small subunit ribosomal RNA", at positions 338 to 795 of the family's 1533-position model. The record is from RNAcentral. Lineage: Bacteria; Pseudomonadati; Pseudomonadota; Gammaproteobacteria; Oceanospirillales; Halomonadaceae.